Molecule: non-coding RNA, 41 nt
Filed under: Trichobilharzia regenti
Lineage: Eukaryota; Metazoa; Platyhelminthes; Trematoda; Strigeidida; Schistosomatidae
Source: RNAcentral
AGCUGACUAGUCCCAAAUAGGACGAAAUGCGCAUCCUGGAU